GACCCACAGUAAAGUGGGA
This 19-nucleotide small nuclear RNA is filed under the name Arabidopsis thaliana (thale cress). Its description in RNAcentral is "snRNA_11350". The record is from RNAcentral. Lineage: Eukaryota; Viridiplantae; Streptophyta; Magnoliopsida; Brassicales; Brassicaceae.